UGUGUAAACGAAGCUCACAGGAGAGGUGAACAGGAAAGAGCAGGUACUAGGGGCUAUAAAGAAGCCGAGAGGGUCUAUUAAGUUUACCCGAUUGCCCACCUUAAAACCCAACUUCAGGCUCAGUGGUAAAGUUCUUGCUUGCCUAGGGUGCAUGAGUCUGGAUUUAUCCUCAGUAUUCCUAAACAGAAACAAAGCCCUUAUCUUAGGGAUAUGCUUUUAAUGUCAUGUAACCCCAGGAAAAUCUAAAGAUAAGGUCUCCUGCUUUUUUGCUUAACAUAUAGUGGAGAAAUGGGGAGAUAGGUGUCCCCUGCUAGUCUGGGGCACCAUGAAUGUCCCCUGAAUUCUGGGGCCUUUGGGAAUCCAUUCCAUUAGGAAACAGAACUGACCUGA
Molecule: long non-coding RNA, 390 nt
Filed under: Mus pahari (shrew mouse)
Lineage: Eukaryota; Metazoa; Chordata; Mammalia; Rodentia; Muridae
Description: lncRNA (MGP_PahariEiJ_G0003632.1)
Source: RNAcentral